RNAcentral lists this ribosomal RNA (467 nucleotides) under uncultured bacterium. RNAcentral describes it as "partial 16S ribosomal RNA". It matches the Rfam family "Bacterial small subunit ribosomal RNA", at positions 28 to 507 of the family's 1533-position model. The record is from RNAcentral.
GACGAACGCUGGCGGCGUGCUUAACACAUGCAAGUCGAACGGAAAGGCCUCUUUCGGGGGGUACUCGAGUGGCGAACGGGUGAGUAACACGUGAGUAACCUGCCCUUGACUUUGGGAUAACUUCAGGAAACUGGGGCUAAUACCGGAUAGGAGCUCCUGCUGCAUGGUGGGGGUUGGAAAGUUUCGGCGGUUGGGGAUGGACUCGCGGCUUAUCAGCUUGUUGGUGGGGUAGUGGCUUACCAAGGCUUUGACGGGUAGCCGGCCUGAGAGGGUGACCGGCCACAUUGGGACUGAGAUACGGCCCAGACUCCUACGGGAGGCAGCAGUGGGGAAUAUUGCACAAUGGGUGGAAGCCUGAUGCAGCAACGCCGGGUGCGGGAUGACGGCCUUCGGGUUGUAAACCGCUUACGCUCAUGACGAAGCUUUGUGUGACGGUAGUGGGUAAAGAAGCACCGGCUAACUACGUG